Molecule: ribosomal RNA, 1412 nt
Filed under: Francisella sp. PQ1104
Lineage: Bacteria; Pseudomonadati; Pseudomonadota; Gammaproteobacteria; Thiotrichales; Francisellaceae
Description: 16S ribosomal RNA
Rfam family: Bacterial small subunit ribosomal RNA
Source: RNAcentral
UGCAAGUCGAACGGUAACAGGUCUUCGGAUGCUGACGAGUGGCGGACGGGUGAGUAACGCGUAGGAAUCUGCCCAUCUGUGGGGGAUACCAGUUGGAAACGACUGUUAAUACCGCAUAAUAUCUGCGGAUUAAAGGUGGCCUUUGCGCUGCCGCAGAUGGAUGAGCCUGCGUUGGAUUAGCUAGUUGGUGGGGUAAGGGCCUACCAAGGCUACGAUCCAUAGCUGAUUUGAGAGGAUGAUCAGCCACAUUGGGACUGAGACACGGCCCAAACUCCUACGGGAGGCAGCAGUGGGGAAUAUUGGACAAUGGGGGAAACCCUGAUCCAGCAAUGCCAUGUGUGUGAAGAAGGCUCUAGGGUUGUAAAGCACUUUAGUUGGGGAGGAAAGCCUGUGAGUUAAUAGCUUGCAGGAAGGACGUUGCCCAAAGAAUAAGGACCGGCUAACUCCGUGCCAGCAGCCGCGGUAAUACGGGGGGUCCGAGCGUUAAUCGGAAUUACUGGGCGUAAAGGGUCUGUAGGUGGUUUGUUAAGUCAGAUGUGAAAGCCCAGGGCUCAACCUUGGAACUGCAUUUGAUACUGACAAACUAGAGUAUGGUAGAGGAAUAGGGAACUUCUGGUGUAGCGGUGAAAUGCGUAGAGAUCAGAAGGAACACCAAUGGCGAAGGCAACAUUCUGGACCAAUACUGACACUGAGGGACGAAAGCGUGGGGAUCAAACAGGAUUAGAUACCCUGGUAGUCCACGCUGUAAACGAUGAGUACUAGCUGUUGGAUUCGGUGUAAAGGAUCUAGUGGCGCAGCUAACGCGUUAAGUACUCCGCCUGGGGACUACGGCCGCAAGGCUAAAACUCAAAGGAAUUGACGGGGACCCGCACAAGCGGUGGAGCAUGUGGUUUAAUUCGAUGCAACGCGAAGAACCUUACCUGGUCUUGACAUCCUGCGAACUUUCUAGAGAUAGAUUGGUGCCUUCGGGAACGCAGUGACAGGUGCUGCACGGCUGUCGUCAGCUCGUGUUGUGAAAUGUUGGGUUAAGUCCCGCAACGAGCGCAACCCCUAUUGAUAGUUACCAUCAUUAAGUUGGGUACUCUAUUGAGACUGCCGCUGACAAGGCGGAGGAAGGUGGGGACGACGUCAAGUCAUCAUGGCCCUUACGACCAGGGCUACACACGUGCUACAAUGGGUAUUACAGAGGGCUGCGAAGGUGCGAGCUGGAGCGAAACUCAGAAAGGUACUCUUAGUCCGGAUUGCAGUCUGCAACUCGACUGCAUGAAGUCGGAAUCGCUAGUAAUCGCAGGUCAGAAUACUGCGGUGAAUACGUUCCCGGGUCUUGUACACACCGCCCGUCACACCAUGGGAGUGGGUUGCUCCAGAAGUAGAUAGCUUAACGAAUGGGCGUUUACCACGGAGUGAUUCAU